This 989-nucleotide ribosomal RNA is filed under the name human gut metagenome. RNAcentral describes it as "bacterial LSU rRNA". It matches the Rfam family "Bacterial large subunit ribosomal RNA", at positions 1938 to 2925 of the family's 2925-position model. The record is from RNAcentral.
AACUAUAACGGUCCUAAGGUAGCGAAAUUCCUUGUCGGGUAAGUUCCGACCCGCACGAAAGGCGUAAUGAUUUGAGCGCUGUCUCGACAAUGCACCCGGUGAAAUUGAAAUACCAGUGAAGAUGCUGGUUACCUGCGCCAGGACGGAAAGACCCCAUGGAGCUUUACUCCAGCUUGAUACUGGGAUUCGGUAUUGCAUGUACAGGAUAGGUGGGAGGCUAGGAAAUGGUAACGCCAGUUGCCAUGGAGCCAAUGUUGGGAUACCACCCUUGCAGUAUUGGGUUUCUAACCAGCAGCCGUGAUCCGGCUGGGGGACAAUGUCAGGUGGGGAGUUUGACUGGGGCGGUCGCCUCCGAAAGGGUAUCGGAGGCGCUCAAAGGUUCCCUCAGAAUGGUUGGAAACCAUUCGAAGAGUGCAAAGGCAGAAGGGAGCUUGACUGCGACACCGACGGGUGGAGCAGGUACGAAAGUAGGACUUAGUGAUCCGGUGGUAUAAAGUGGGAUUGCCAUCGCUCAACGGAUAAAAGCUACCCUGGGGAUAACAGGCUUAUCACUCCCAAGAGUUCACAUCGACGGAGUGGUUUGGCACCUCGAUGUCGGCUCAUCGCAUCCUGGGGCUGAAGUAGGUCCCAAGGGUUGGGCUGUUCGCCCAUUAAAGCGGUACGCGAGCUGGGUUCAGAACGUCGUGAGACAGUUCGGUCCCUAUCCGGCGUGGGCGUAGGAUAUUUGAGAGGAGCUGCCCUUAGUACGAGAGGACCGGGGUGGACUGGCCGCUGGUGGAUCUGUUGUAUUACCAAAUGCAUAGCAGAGUAGCCAAGCCGGGACGGGAUAAACGCUGAAGGCAUCUAAGCGUGAAGCCCCCCUCAAGAUGAGAUAUCCCAUAACGUCAAGUUAGUAAGACCCCUUGAAGACGACGAGGUAGAUAGGGCAGAGGUGGAAGUGCGGUAACGCAUGGAGCUGACUGUUACUAAUAGGUCGAGGGCAUAACCAA